This is a long non-coding RNA of Oncorhynchus keta (chum salmon), 1388 nucleotides long. RefSeq lists it as uncharacterized. The transcript has 3 exons. NCBI's taxonomy places the organism in Eukaryota, Metazoa, Chordata, Actinopteri, Salmoniformes, Salmonidae. The record is from RefSeq and is a predicted model, not a curated record.
UCUGGCUGUUUUGUGUUCUGAGCGCCGUUCUCAGAUUAUGCUUUUUCCAUAAAGUUUUUUUGAAAUCUGACACAGCGGUUGUAUUAAAGAGAAGUCUAUCUUUAAUUCUGUGAAUAAUACUUAUUCUUUAUCAAUGUUUAUUAUGAGUAUUUCUGCAAAAUCACUGGAUGUUUUGGAAUCAAAACAUUACUGCACGUAAGGCGCCAAUGUAAACUGAGAUUUUUGGAUAUAAAUAUGCACAUUAUCGAACAAAACAUACAUGUAUUGUGUAACAUGAUGUCCUAUGCGUUUCAUCUGAUGAAGAUCAUCAAAGGUUAGUGAUUAAUUUUAUCUACAGUGGGGCAAAAAAUAUUUAGUCAGCCACCAAAACGACGUGAAUUUCUGGCUACAUGGCUGCGGUUAGGCAUAAGGUUAUCUGUGUGGUUAAGGUUAGAUUUAAAAUCACAUUUUAAGAAGAGAAAUUGUAGAAAUAGACGGCCUGUAUGACUUUGUGGCCGUGGUAACUAGUGACGAACUAGAAUUAGCUUGACCCAAGUUACUGCCCUGAUGAUACAGACGGCUUCAUCAACAACGGUAAUGUGUCUUAUGUGAAAAUUUGUAUACAAAAAAAAUACCCAGUUUGAUAACUAGUAGGUUAAUUACCCAGCCAAGCAGAUACAAGUAGUAGAGUGAUUUUGUAACUGUGAAGUGCAUUAUCAAAGAACAUUGUCCUUUCUUUAUUCCAAAAUGAAAUGUUCUACUUGGCUGUCUAUUGUAUCACCCUGUCACAGGCCCUACCAGUCAACACCAGCUCAUAAGAUGACGAAGUACAUUGCCUGCUGCAGUUGUUCGAGAGAUGUCCCGUUUCAGCCAAACAUACAACAUAGAGAAGACCAGCAAGGGGGCCCUCACAAUCACACAGACAUGUCCUCGCUGUGAGCAUUCCUAUAAAUGGAACAGUGGGGACACUUGAAUCAGUGCUCAGGAGGGGCCAGGAGCUCAUCUACACUGCCAUGCCCAUCAAUGGGGUGCUGGCAAAGAACUUACCUCCAUCCUCACUUCUUGCCUGCUUACCAACGGUUGUCAAUGAAGAGAUGUAUCUAUUGACCCGGAACUUGGAGACUGGCAAGAGGAUGUGAUGAAGUCCAGAAUGACAUACGGGCUUCAUACUGCUGUCUCUAAAUGGAGAGAGACCUGGUACUCGGCAUGAACAUUUUACUAGACCACUUUAACUUGUCUUUUUUUAUUAUUGAAUUUAAUGGUGCACGGCAAUAUGGGGAGGGAGAAACCCGGUGUAUUCUGCACCAGGAUCAGGUAACUCCUGGUGUAUACAGGACACCACCACCCUGACAUGUUUACCAAGGUAGCCCCAUUAACACCAAACAAAAUGCCGAUGGGCACAGUAUCUU